RNAcentral lists this ribosomal RNA (508 nucleotides) under uncultured bacterium. RNAcentral describes it as "bacterial SSU rRNA". It matches the Rfam family "Bacterial small subunit ribosomal RNA", at positions 26 to 518 of the family's 1533-position model. The record is from RNAcentral.
AGGACGAACGCUGGCGGCGUGCCUAACACAUGCAAGUCGAGCGGGGACAUGCGACGGAGCGGAAGUUUUCGGAUGGAAGUGAAGAUGUAUGUUCUAGCGGCGGACGGGUGAGUAACGCGUGAGCAACCUGUCCCUUACAGGGGGAUAACACAGCGAAAGUUGUACUAAUACCGCAUAAGACCACGGCAGGACAUCCUGCAGGGGUCAAAGGAGCAAUCCGGUAAGGGGUGGGCUCGCGUCCGAUUAGAUAGUUGGUGAGGUAACGGCCCACCAAGUCGACGAUCGGUAGCCGACCUGAGAGGGUGAUCGGCCACAUUGGGACUGAGACACGGCCCAAACUCCUACGGGAGGCAGCAGUGGGGAAUAUUGGGCAAUGGGGGGAAACCCCCUGACCCAGCAACGCCGCGUGAGGGAAGAAGGUUUUCGGAUCGUAAACCUCUGUCCUUGGUGAAGAGUUUGAGACGGUAGCCAAGGAGGAAGCCCCGGCUAACUACGUGCCAGCAGCGGC